CUCCAUACAGGGCCGGCCUUAGGCCUUAAACCUGUGCGAAAAAUCUUCACAGUCCCCCCUCCCCCCACAUCAUCCAUGUAUGAUGUAAUGUUUGUGUUGUCUGUGUAUGUGAUAGGUGUGAUGACUGUGUGUGAUAUGUUUGCUAUGUGUUGGCUGUGUGUGAUAUUUGUAAUGGGUGUAUUAACAGUGUGUGAUAUGCGUGUAUUGGUUGUAUGUGAUAUUUGUGCUGGG
Non-coding RNA from Pelobates cultripes (western spadefoot toad), 231 nucleotides. The record is from the annotation of a GenBank genome assembly. Lineage: Eukaryota; Metazoa; Chordata; Amphibia; Anura; Pelobatidae.